This 313-nucleotide ribosomal RNA is filed under the name uncultured eukaryote. RNAcentral describes it as "partial 18S ribosomal RNA". It matches the Rfam family "Eukaryotic small subunit ribosomal RNA", at positions 1470 to 1798 of the family's 1831-position model. The record is from RNAcentral.
CCUUUAGAUGGUCUGGGCGGCACGCGCGCUACAAUGAUGCAUUCAAAAAGUCUUCUGACCUUAAGAGGUCCGGUAUUCUCCAAAUUGCAUCGUGCUGGGCAUAGUUGAUUACAAUUUAUAAUCUUCAACGAGGAAUUCCUAGUAAGGUCAUCAACUUGUGUUGAUUACGCCCCAGCCCUUUGUACACACCGCCCGCCGCUCCUACUGAUUGAGUGUCUCGGUGAAUUAUUUGAUCUUCUGUCGAUUCACUUCACUGAUCCGACGGUGGACAGUUGAAUGAACUUCGUCAUUAGAGGAAGGAGAAGUCGUAAAG